Onychomys torridus (southern grasshopper mouse) is the source of this 709-nucleotide long non-coding RNA. RefSeq lists it as uncharacterized. Lineage: Eukaryota; Metazoa; Chordata; Mammalia; Rodentia; Cricetidae. The record is from RefSeq and is a predicted model, not a curated record. The transcript is spliced from 3 exons.
GAGAUCUAGGAGAGAAAAGACAGACUUGAGAAGGCCGCAUCCUCCGGCUCUUGGCCGAACUGCUGCAGCUUCUCUCCUGUACCGCAUCAAUUGGCACCGAGCACCCCCCUCGAUCACCCCGGGCCGCGGCCCUCCCUCCCGGGUGGGAGGGAAAAGUGUUCCACGAAGCGGUAGCGCCUUGCCGCCUCGCCUUCUCCUCCCUGACCCUGGGCCCAGCCCCCGUCCCAGCGCCAGCUGGUGGAGCCAGGGCUAGAAGCCCUCGGCGCCCCGGGAGCGCAGAGCGCAAGGGACCCAGGCGCGGGGCCGGCGCCCGCACAUGGCUGCAGCCCCCUGCGCGCACCCCGAGGCGCCGCGCCCUGCUAGCAGAAGGUCCGUCGGCUGCGCUCGGUCUCCCCGCAGCCAGGCAGCGCUGAGCCGGGAAGCGCCCGUGUCCGGGGAUCGGGAUGUCCCUCUUCUUCCUCUGGCUAGGUAGUGACUCUCUGUGCUGGGUCCUACGGGUGGAUACAGAAUCACACGUGACUCAAGACUCUGCUCGUUUCACUGGGGUCAGAGGACCAGGUUGACAGAGGAAAAUAAAAAUGUUGAACAGUGCCAGACAGAGCUAAAAUGUUCGGAACAGACAAGGACGGGACUAGGGGUUUUGCAAAAGAAUAGUUAAGAGGACGGAAGAUUCUUCUGCUGGUAGUGUGAGGGAGAGAGGGUAGGCACG